RNAcentral lists this non-coding RNA (23 nucleotides) under Rattus norvegicus (Norway rat). Lineage: Eukaryota; Metazoa; Chordata; Mammalia; Rodentia; Muridae. The record is from RNAcentral.
GCUCAAUAAAAAGUGAGCACUGC